CAUUUAUGGAGAGUUUGAUCCUGGCUCAGGAUGAACGCUGGCGGCGUGCCUAAUACAUGCAAGUCGAGCGCGAGAUUGGGGAGCUUGCUCCCCAUGAUCGAGCGGCGGACGGGUGAGUAACACGUAGGCAACCUACCCAUCAGACUGGGAUAACCGCGGGAAACCGUGGCUAAUACCGGAUGACCCUUUAUGACACCGG
RNAcentral lists this ribosomal RNA (199 nucleotides) under Lacicoccus qingdaonensis. RNAcentral describes it as "Salinicoccus qingdaonensis 16S rRNA. Bacterial SSU". It matches the Rfam family "Bacterial small subunit ribosomal RNA", at positions 1 to 192 of the family's 1533-position model. The record is from RNAcentral. Lineage: Bacteria; Bacillati; Bacillota; Bacilli; Caryophanales; Salinicoccaceae.